CCUACGGGGUGCAGCAGUGAGGAAUAUUGGUCAAUGGACGAGAGUCUGAACCAGCCAAGUAGCGUGAAGGAUGACUGCCCUAUGGGUUGUAAACUUCUUUUAUAAAGGAAUAAAACGAGGCACGUGUGCCUUUUUUGCAUGUACUUUAUGAAUAAGGAUCGGCUAACUCCGUGCCAGCAGCCGCGGUAAUACGGAGGAUCCGAGCGUUAUCCGGAUUUAUUGGGUUUAAAGGGAGCGUAGAUGGGUUGUUAAGUCAGUUGUGAAAGUUUGCGGCUCAACCGUAAAAUUGCAAUUGAUACUGGCAGUCUUGAGUACAGUUGAGGUAGGCGGAAUUCGUGGUGUAGCGGUGAAAUGCUUAGAUAUCACGAAGAACCCCGAUUGCGAAGGCAGCUUACUAAACUGUGACUGACAUUGAUGCUCGAAAGUGUGGGUAUCAAACAGGAUUAGAUACCCGAGUAGUC
Molecule: ribosomal RNA, 461 nt
Filed under: uncultured bacterium
Lineage: Bacteria
Description: partial 16S ribosomal RNA
Rfam family: Bacterial small subunit ribosomal RNA
Source: RNAcentral